UUAAAGUCUAACCUGCCCACUGAGAAUUUAAAUGGCCGCAGUAUUCUAACUGUGCAAAGGUAGCAUAAUCAUUAGUCUUUUAAUUGAAGGCUGGAAUGAAUGGUUGGACGAAAUAUUAACUGUUUCAUUUUAAUUUAUAUUAGAAUUUUAUUUUUUAGUCAAAAAGCUAAAAUUUAUUUAAAAGACGAGAAGACCCUAUAAAUCUUUAUACUUUGAUUUUAUUAAUUGUAAAGAUUAAUUUUGUUAUUAAAAUUUUAAGUAUUUUAUUGGGGUGAUAUUAAAAUUUAAAAAACUUUUAAUUUUUAAAUACAUUAAUUUAUGAAUUUUUGAUCCAUUAAUGAUGAUUAAAAAAUUAAGUUACUUUAGGGAUAACAGCGUAAUUUUUUUGGAGAGUUCAUAUCGAUAAAAAAGAUUGCGACCUCGAUGUUGGAUUAAGAUAUAAAUUUGGGUGUAGCCGUUCAAAUUUUAAGUCUGUUCGACUUUUAAUUUCUUACAUGAUCUGAGUUCAAACCGGCGUAAGCCAGGUUGGUUUCUAUCUUUAAAAAAUUUUUAUAUUUUAGUACGAAAGGACCAAAUAUAAAAAUAAUUAUAUUUUAUGGUUAGAAUAUUAAUAAUUUGA
This 619-nucleotide ribosomal RNA is filed under the name Zygothrica sp. 6f PMO-2008. RNAcentral describes it as "partial 16S ribosomal RNA". It matches the Rfam family "Bacterial large subunit ribosomal RNA", at positions 1845 to 2759 of the family's 2925-position model. The record is from RNAcentral. Lineage: Eukaryota; Metazoa; Arthropoda; Insecta; Diptera; Drosophilidae.